This 253-nucleotide ribosomal RNA is filed under the name uncultured bacterium. RNAcentral describes it as "partial 16S ribosomal RNA". It matches the Rfam family "Bacterial small subunit ribosomal RNA", at positions 524 to 776 of the family's 1533-position model. The record is from RNAcentral.
UACGAAGGGGGCUAGCGUUGCUCGGAAUCACUGGGCGUAAAGGGUGCGUAGGCGGGUCUUUAAGUCAGGGGUGAAAUGCCAAGGCUCAACCUUGGAACUGCCUUUGAUACUGGAGACCUUGAGUCCGGGAGAGGUGAGUGGAAUUGCGAGUGUAGAGGUGAAAUUCGUAGAUAUUCGCAAGAACACCAGUGGCGAAGGCGGCUCACUGGCCCGGAACUGACGCUGAGAUGCGAAAGCGUGGGGAGCAAACAGG